Molecule: long non-coding RNA, 1014 nt
Filed under: Gallus gallus (chicken)
Lineage: Eukaryota; Metazoa; Chordata; Aves; Galliformes; Phasianidae
Description: lncRNA (ENSGALG00010004931.1)
Source: RNAcentral
AUCUGUGUACUCGAGUCCUCCUGAAGAGAAUCCUUGUCUUGGCCUGAGUAGAGAGAGCACUUGCAGAACUGGUAGCUGUUUCCUGUUGAUUGUGCUUCGUGAAAUCAGUUCCUAUACAUCUUCAACUGUGCGCUGUCUUUAUCUUGAACUGAAGGCCACAGACUUAAUGUGUGGAGGAAAGAAAAAAGUGAUAAGAAAACAAAGCAAUGAGGACUGGAGGGGAAGAAAAGGACUUAAGUCUUUUGCUCUGACUUGCAAACAGGAAAGUUUCCCAUUAGAAUGCAACUCUGAUGGACUGGAUAGCUGUGUGCCCACCCUUGAAGCUGUAAGCAUCCUGGACACCCAUUCCAGAAGGAUGUUUUUGUCAGAUGGACAUAGUACUUUCUCUGAUAUUUAUAAGUUUUUACUGCCUCAGAAAUUGAAGAUGGAGAUUCCACUUUAGGAAAAUAUUAAAACAAAGAUUUCAAAGGGGCUUCAGAAAAUGCUUAAAGGUAGUCUUGUGGCAGUGGCAGCUGUCGGGCCAAAUUGGAACUUCCUGCAAUUUCUCAGCCCUGCUUUACAUGGUACUGGGCAGAGCAGUCAUGGGUCCACUUUUCCUGUUCACUGCGGACUGCUCCUUCUGCACAACCAGUAUUAACUGCUUCAGGCUCCAUAAUGAAAUGCUGGUUUGGUUGUACUGGCAGAGCCCUGCUUCAAUCUCUAGAGGAUAAGUAACAUCAUUCCUGGGAAGUCUAGAGCUAAAGCAUAUCGGACUCUGACAGGGACAAUCAGAUUUAUAUAAUUUUCUGACAGACAGUUAAGCUUAAAGCUGUGCAAACUGAAAAUACACUGUCAAAUAAAGUUAAUAUUUUAGAAUCCGAAGGUUUUAACAGGCGAGACACUCAGACCUGUUCUCACAAAGAUGCUGCUUUUUUUCUCUUGUGUUUUCAGAAGUCUUUGGAAGUUGUGCUGCCAUCAGUCAAGACGCACAUAUGUAAAUCUGAUCCUUACAAAGAGUAAUAAAAAGAGCAUUUU